Molecule: ribosomal RNA, 301 nt
Filed under: uncultured bacterium
Lineage: Bacteria
Description: partial 16S ribosomal RNA
Rfam family: Bacterial small subunit ribosomal RNA
Source: RNAcentral
CAGCAGCCGCGGGAAUACGAACCGUGCGAACGCUAUUCGGAAUUACUGGGCUUAAAGCGCGUGUAGGCGGCUCGGCACGUCGGACGUUGAAAACCCCCGGCUCAACCGGAGAAGUGGCGCCGAUACGGCCGAACUGGAGGGGGGUAGGGGGGUCUGGAACUUCCGGUGGAGCGGUGAAAUGCGUUGAGAUCGGAAGGAACGCCCGUGGCGAAAGCGAGGCCCUGGACCUUUUCUGACGCUGAGACGCGAAAGCCAGGGGAGCGAACGGGAUUAGAGACCCCAGUAGUCCCUGUCUCUUAUA